UGGGGUGUCGUCCAAUGGCAGGACGCCGGUCUUUGGAACCGGAUGUUGGAGGUUCGAGCCCUCCCACCCCAGCCA
Molecule: transfer RNA, 75 nt
Filed under: Candidatus Hydrogenedentes bacterium ADurb.Bin179
Lineage: Bacteria; Pseudomonadati; Candidatus Hydrogenedentota
Description: tRNA-Gln
Rfam family: tRNA
About the family: Transfer RNA (tRNA) molecules are approximately 80 nucleotides in length. Their secondary structure includes four short double-helical elements and three loops (D, anti-codon, and T loops).
Source: RNAcentral